GCAUCGUAUCUCACAGUUAAUUUAUCUGAUCUAAAUUUUACUGUUAAUGUAUCUGGCUAGGUUUUAGUGUUUACAUUUAUGUAUUCACAAUUUUGUGAAUUGGAAUUAAUUCUUAGUUGUCUGUAAUUUUUCCUACUUAAACUUAUAUACCCAACAUAACUUUAUUCCACUAUGUCUUUGGAAACGAUUCCUAAGGAUCUGAGAAAUCUUCGCGCUUGUCUGUUGUGUUCCAUAAUUAAGUCUGUUGAGCAAUUCGAAUUUGAUGGGUGUGAUAACUGUGAAGAGUUUUUAGGCCUGAAAAAUAAUAGAGAUCUUGUAUAUGAUUGUACAAGUUCUAAUUUUGAUGG
Non-coding RNA from Parasteatoda tepidariorum (common house spider), 347 nucleotides. NCBI's taxonomy places the organism in Eukaryota, Metazoa, Arthropoda, Arachnida, Araneae, Theridiidae. The record is from RefSeq and is a predicted model, not a curated record.